CCAGGCUGGGCCGCUGCCUGUCUGGGGGGUCAGGGCCUGCGUCUGGCCUCACCGCCCCUGGGCCCGAGCCCAUGGCGGGCAGGGACCGACGUCCAUCCCUGAGACCGGCUCUCGCCCGCCUGCCCACCCACCCGCCCACCUAAGGGAGGGACGCAGGAACAGAACGGAUCCGGGGGCAUCUGGCCAUGGGAUGACGAUUCUGCACGGCGCUCUUGUGUCUCUGCACGUCUUUCCAGGAGAGGCCCCGGCUGCCCUCUGUCUGGACCGUCAUGUCAAGGACGUUUGUAUGGAGAACAGCCUCAAAAGGUCAAGACAGUGUCUCCCUCCAAGCAAAGAGCUCGAUUUAACAGUGUCGCUGGCUGGAACUGGGAUCCGCCAAUGUCCCUCGAGUGACUGCCGGAUGCAAGAUGCUCUUGUCACCACCUUCACGCAGCAGAUGGAUGCCAAAGCGCAUCUCUUUGUUCCCCCCAGGGCACGCCAAACAGGCCCUCUGCUACUGCCACGUCCUCCCCGAGGGGCUUUAGCAGUGGCACCUUGCCAAGUGGGGAGACCUUCCGUGUGGGACCUCAAUGGCCAACCUGUCUUUGGAGCCAUCUGCCCACAUGAGCCGAGGUUGGAGUAGCUGACCCUGGUUCUUCUGGGAGGUUCCCAGAUUCCUGGCCAUCCACUGUGUUUCCUACUACUGUUUUUCUAGCCUACUUAGCUAUUCAGGGGGAAAAUAUCACAGUGGGUAGGAAGUUUUUGCUCAAAAGCCAAACAAAGAGAAGAAAAACAAGAGCAAAGGGAAAGAAGGUUAAAAAAAAAAAAAUAAUAAAGCCUUUGAGAA
Molecule: long non-coding RNA, 826 nt
Organism: Zalophus californianus (California sea lion)
Lineage: Eukaryota; Metazoa; Chordata; Mammalia; Carnivora; Otariidae
Exons: 3
Source: RefSeq, a predicted model, not a curated record